ACUCAAAGGAAUUGACGGGGGCUCACACAAGCGGUGGAGCAUGUUGCUUAAUUCGAAGCGACGCGAAGAACCUUAUCCUGGACUUGACAUGCACGGAUUAGUUCUGUGAAAGCAGAAUGACACCCUCGGGUGGAACGUGCACAGGUGCUGCAUGGCUGUCGUCAGCUCGUGCUGUGAAGUGUCGGGUUAAGUCCCUCAACGAGCGCAACCCCUGUCGCUAGUUGCCAGCGAGUCAUGUCGGGGACUCUAGCGAGACUGCCGGUGUCAAACCGGAGGAAGGUGGGGAUGACGUCAAGUCCUCAUGGCCUUUAUGUCCAGGGCUGCAAACGUGCUACAAUGGCGUAUACAAAGCGAUGCGAGGCCGCGAGGCGGAGCAAAUCGCAAAAAGUACGCCCCAGUUCAGAUUGCAGUCUGCAACUCGACUGCAUGAAGUCGGAAUCGCUAGUAAUCGGAGAUCAGCUACGCUCCGGUGAAUACGUUCCUGAGCCUUGUACACACCGCCCGU
RNAcentral lists this ribosomal RNA (505 nucleotides) under uncultured bacterium. RNAcentral describes it as "partial 16S ribosomal RNA". It matches the Rfam family "Bacterial small subunit ribosomal RNA", at positions 899 to 1397 of the family's 1533-position model. The record is from RNAcentral.